Rattus norvegicus (Norway rat) is the source of this 6599-nucleotide non-coding RNA. The record is from RefSeq and is a predicted model, not a curated record. Lineage: Eukaryota; Metazoa; Chordata; Mammalia; Rodentia; Muridae.
GGGGUCUUCCGCUUGGAGCAUCUGUCCCGGGUCAGGACUUAGGGACCCCAGGGACAAGAUCGCGAGAUGCAAGAUUAGGUCCUCACUGAAUGCCUGUCCUGAGGUCCUAGGAAGUGGCCAACCCAGUGGAAACUUGUUCUCAGGGCGAGGCCAUAGCUAUCUGAAAGCUAUCCCCUUUCUUUCUCCUUUUGCUUUAGAGGCUGAGACUUGACAAGGACUCUGGGAGAGAAAAGGUUCAGGAAUCUCUUGAUUUCCCCACUCCUGACUCUCCAAGUGACUAUGAUAUGUAUACCCCAAAUCUGAGUGAGAGCUAGGAAUCCUGCUGAGUCCCCACACUUUUGGAAACAUGAAGGUAUGAGGUCAUGCAGCCAAUUGGAACCCAAACCUGGGUAUGGUAGCUGAGGUGAUUGCUAGCAGGUGAAAUAGCUUUUCAGUCAAACCAUAUGGUAAAUUUGCUAAAGUUCCUGCUUAAUCAGAUUUAACUGUUUGAAAAUCACAUCAUUUUACUGCUAUGCUAAUGUAUCUUACUCCUUCCUGAUAUGAAGUAUUUUCUGGGGUGGCCUCAGAGUCACCAACCACACACUGUAUUUGCAACUUGUAAAUGCUUCUCCUUGCCUACAAGGCACAUCCACACAUUUCCCCCUCCCCCUAACACAGAAUAGUGUCACUGCUGGGUGAAUGAGCCCAGGUUUUCUUGGCAGGAAUCGCUCUGUGUCCUGAUCAUUUGGCCCAUGGAAGUGUUAAAGGAGGGUGGGAUCAACAGCAGCUACUUUAGACUUCUGGCUUUGUCAAGAUGGUAAGAAGUUUCUAGAAGGCUAGUAAUUAUAGACUUGGGGGGGGGGAAAGUAUUAAGGUAAUUCUCUUCAAAAGAAGUAUGGCUCUGGGGGUUGGGGAUUUAACUCAGUGGUAGAGCGCUUGCCUAGCAAGCUCGAGGCCCUGGGUUCGUUCGGUCCCCAGCUCCGGAAAAAAAAGAAAAAAAGAAAAAAAGAAAAAAAGAAAAAAAAAAAAAAGAAGUACAGGCCCAAGGCAUAUAUGGCUGCCAGUAUCUAGUAUUAAGAAUGCUCACACUGAACUUUUAAAUGCUACAAGGAGAAGGAACUGGUGGCCAGUUGGUGAGGGAAGAAAGAGCUAAGAAAAUCCUGGGUGCCCUGCAUGGGGAUAUAUUUAAACAUUCGUGGGAAGAAAAGGCUUGACAUCUGUGUCCUCCCCUGCUGGCCUCUAAAUAGCCCUUGAUGCAUGUAUUAAGUUCUUGCCCCCUCGUAGCUACUGUCCUUUGCCCUGGCUUUGAUCAGGUAAACCAGAUCAUCUUUUUUUUUUUUUUUUUUAAUAUAGUGAAAGGCAGACUGUAAGACAAAAGAUUCUUGGAAUUUUUUGUAGAGUACUGCCAUUCAUAGACAGUCAGUGAAUUCUCCACAAGCCCGUUCCUGUUUUACCCAGUGCCUGUGUACUGACCCUGUGUGUAAGUUUAUGCUGAUAGCUUUGUUUGCUUACAGAUUUGUUUGUGAUUUUUUUAAAACUCCUUUUAUUUUACUAGUGUAAUGAAUGGUACGAAUGAUAUGAAAUGGAAACUAGUGAUUAUUUUUAUGGUUGUUUGCAAAUUGAAUAAAUUGCAGUCUGUUUACGCUUUAAGAUUAGUGAGUGUCAGCGAUUUUUCAACGCAUUCUUGUUUGUGUCCCUUCCUUCAUUCACUCAGUGGGAGUGGGAAGCAUGGGCAAGCUUUCAGACACUCCUGGGAGGAAGUGGGGAAUAGUACAUUAGGAUGCCUUUAGCAAGGUUAAGGUCCAGAGGGGUAGCAAGACAGGGCUGAGAAGGUCAGAAUUAACUUUUAUACACAUCGACUAAGCCUACGGAAAUCCAUAGCCGUAGUCAGGCGGUGGUGGUGCCUGCCUUUACUCCCAGCACUCAGGAGACAAAGGCAGGCAGAUCUCUGGGUUCGAGGCCAGGCUUGUGUACAGGGUGAGUUCCAGGCAGACAGGGCUACACAGAGAAACUCUGUCUGGAAAAACCAAAAAAAAAAAAAAAAAAAAAAAGAAAUACUCAAUUCCACAGGUAUACGGUAUAUGUCUUAAUUCCACUUAGAAUAUUCAAAAGGCUGCAUUGAAAGGGUGAUUGCAUUUUCAUAAUAUAAUAUUUCAAUCACAACUCACAUCACUUCUCCCCCCCGCCACCCCACCCCUGAGCUGAGGACCAGGGCCUUGGCUUACUAGGCAAGGGCUCUACCACUGAGCUAAAUCCCCAACCCCCUCACAUCACUUCUUGGUUGAGCAAAUAUUAAAGUGGAUGCUCAUCUGGAGCCCUGAGGUUAAACAGCCUACCUGCCCAAUCCCUCCAGGUUUUAUCUCCGUUGGCCCCAUCAUGGUUCAUGAAAUAGACUUCAUUCAGGGAGGACACAGUGCAGGUGGACAGCAUCUGGUGGGUCUUGAGUUUUUUUCUGACUGCAGACCUUUAAGAAAUCUGUCAACACUCAGAUGUUUAAUCUAAAGAUCUUUCAUCUGAGCUGAGGGUGUGGCCCAGAGGGAGAGCAAGCUUUGCAUGCACAAGGCCCUGUGUUCUAUCCCUUACAGGCAAAAUUACCUCUCAUGAAAUGUCCUCUGUGGCAUGUAUGUCUCUGGUUCUUCCUGGCUUCUCUCUGUCAGCAUCUCUUCUUUUUGUUAAAAGAAUUAAUUUACCACCCUGCCUGAGUCAACUAGUUGGCUUUUCUGUUUCCUUUUACUAGGAAAAGAUUUACAAUGUUUCUAGGUAAAGUGAAAUAAAUGUAUUCCUCCUUCCCCUUCCCCUUCCCCUUCCCCUUCCUUCCUUCUUACCUUCCCUUUCCUUUCCCUCCCCGUCUUCCUUCCCUGCAUGUAUGUAUGUGUGAGGCUGCCAAACCCCUGGAACUGGAGUUACAGAGAGUCAGGAGCUGAGCAUUAAACCCAGAUCCCCUGAGAGAGCAGUCAGUGCUCUUUAACUGUUGAUCUAUCUCUCCACUGGCCUCCUCUCUUAGAAGUUGGAGUUGUGAAUCAAUGUAGGGCUACAGAACUCUGGACAAUGUUAGGAUUCUAUCACUUUAUAGUAUAUUGUAUUGUAUUAUUUUCCUCUGGACUGGUGAUUUUUAUCCUUUAGCACUCAUCUUUGGAAGACUUACCCUUGACGUCGUGUCUGUUCAAGGAAAGCUUUUGCAUCGUCUGUUGAAAGACAAUACCUGCAGUUUGGCUCCAAUUCAACAAUCAUUUUCAUUUCUUUCUUUCUUUUUUUUUCUCGGCGCUGGGGACCGAACCCAGGGCCUUUCGCUUGCUAGGCAAGCGCUCUACCGCUGAGCUAAAUCCCCAGCCCCAAAUUCAACAGUCAUUUACUGUAAAAAGAUAGGAUUUCAGUUGCUUGCCAUGAAUAGCCACAUGUCUCAGCCUUCCAUUCCUUUCACUGGCAGGCAGAAAGGCCAUUUGAUAUAGAAAAUGACGUUUCAGUUGUUACUUUUGCUAACCAGAUCACUACUAGCCCAUGGAUGUGAUGUAUAGGUUGGAGAUUAGUGUGAGAUUAAAUAAGACAGUCAUUCUUUGUUUUGUUGUGUUGUGUUGUAUUAUGUUGUGUUUUUUGAGACAGGGUUUCUCUGUGUUUCCUGGCUGUCUUGGAAGUCAUUUUGUUGACCAGGCUGACCUAGAACUCACAAAAAUUCUCCUGCCUCUCCCAGACAUUCUAUAGAAUGGAACUUUGUGUCACCAAUCUCAUUAGCAUGUGUCCAAUCCAACUUCCCUCCUUUGUCAUGUGACAAUUAUUCUCAGGUUUUCCUUCAUGGACAGUAGAGUACUGAAAGCAUUCAGGAGGACCAGUUUGUCAAUAAGCAAGUGUCUUCUGUCAUUUCCAAAAGGAGUGUGAGCUAGGCAGUGAGGGGUAUGUGAGCAUCAUUCUUCCCUUCUCUCCAACUGUAGGUGAUGGAGGCGCCCUAUCAGAGAAAGUUUAAUUAGAGUUCUAACCCCAUUUGACACUCUGACCCUGCAGGGAGUACUAGUUAUGGUUACUAACUCAGGUCUUACUGAUUGCUCAUCAAAGGUAAACUUACCAGUGCUGGGUACAGAGAAUGCCUCAGCGGGUAAAGUGCUUGCUGGGGGAACAUGAAGAUCUGAGUUUGGACUCCCAGCAUCCAUAGAACAGCCUGGGACCACUGAGACAGGAUGAUCCCUGGGACUCACUGGCUGGCCAGUCUCAUCAAACUGGUGGUCAGUGUGAUAUCUCAUUUCAAAAACUAGGAUAGAGAGAGCAAUGCAAGAAGACGCUUGAUGUCACCCCGUGACUCCCAUGUACGCAUACGUGUGCACACAAGUACACGUACACAUAAAUAAUACACACAUUAAUACAUAAGCAAGUAGCUUAGUAAAUGUCAGACGAAACACAGAGGUUAGCAACAUAUGCCUUGCUAGAAAUACAUUGGGAUGCCAUCUGCAGGGACUGCUGGGGGAAGAGUGCUUAAUUAGGUGGUACAAAGCACACAGACACCAUGAAUUCUGUGGGCCUUGCUAAUUCAACCAGGCAGAGAAAUCCCACGGGUCAUGUUACUUGGUCCUUCUGUGACAAGAGAGACGUACUCCUUUCCCACCUACACUUUCCUUUGUCCUUCUUGAAGUCUCCUUUACCCUGGUGAUCCUCCAGUCCAGAGGCAAUGCUCACACUGAAGACUAAUUUCUGUCUAAAACUCCUCAUUAUUCUUUACAGUCAGCUAUAGUUCUUCCAAGCUGGCUGGAUUGCUCAGUGGUAAUGGCACUUGAAGAGAAACCUAAUAGCCUAAGUUUGUUAUCUGGGUAUGAGGAGAGAAUUUACUCCUGAACAUUGUCCUCUGACCUCUAUAGCAGCACUGUUGUAAGUCCACACACUAAAUAAAUAAAUGUAAUUUUUAAAGAUUAAGAAGGAAAAACAAAACAAAACAAAACAGAAAUAGUCCUUGCCAGGACAGAAGCCAUGACAGGAAAGCAAAACAGCCACUGAACACUUAAGGUGAUCCUGAGAAACAGAAAGGACCCUCAGAGGACUGGUCACUGAUCUUCCUCCCUUGUCACUGCUGUUACAGCCUGUGCUGGUCACACAGCCUGCAAAGGCACCUUCUAGAAAGCCCACUCACUACCUUGCUUCCUCACCUAGUCUCAUCAUAUAGGAGCAAUCCCCCCACCCGCCCACCCACCCCUCCAGCCCCGCCCCCAGUGGUGCUUUUCUUACUUGUCCCUUUAACAAGCUCUGUGAAGAAACGAAGGCUGGAACUGUUUCCCUGUCCAAUUUAGUAUACGAUGGGAAUAAUUGUGGCUUGUCUAUGUUAAGUCUCAUGCUUCUUAAUGGAUGGCCACAGAAAUAUGCCGGACUUAGUGAAAUGGUAUGAAAACGUGUACGUCUCUUACCCCCCCCCCCUUCAUUGACACAUCAAAUGUGCUGUGUUACGUGCUAGGGCCAAAAGUGGGACAUCUCUGUUGCUUAUAGAGCUUCCUGUCUAGGAGGGGCUAGAGAUGCGCUCAGUACUCACCCACAUAGAGUAGAACUGCCGCUGUGGUAAGAGCUGCGGGAAAGCGGCAUACGGUGUUCAGAGAGGCUGAGAAAAGACUGCUGAACUGAGCCUUGAAUAAGGUUGGAGCGAACCAGGCAGAGCAAACAGCUCCUGCACGGGCCAGCGGCUGCCCCGGAAUGCAGAGUGAACUCUAGCCACCUCCUGAAACCUGGGCAUUAAGUGCAGAAUCAAGGCAUGGCAGCAGGAAGCUGGCGGGGAGGGCUGCUGCAUGGCGGGUACCAAAAGGACCCCUUAGUAGAUGGAGACUAAGCCAAAUUCUGAGGUUGGUGAGUAGAGAGAGCAUGGCUCUCAUCCUGCAGUCAUGCUCCCUGUCCCAGAGACCCACAGUCUGGGCAGACCUUGUAGAAUGUAUAGAGUGUUGUUUUUACUAAAGGUAUGAGAAGCAAGAAAGUGCCUGGGUGUGUUCAUAAUUGCUGUGAGCCCCUGACUGGGUAAACACCACAGGAAAACCUCAGAGAGUAAACAGACCUUCUGCUCCCUUUCCUUGUGAGUCAGGCUUUUCCGGAACCACACCAGAAACAGCUUCUGGGUUAGAAGUCAGCGUGAGGCUGUUUCUGCUUAGGAAACACUUCUGGGCCUUGUGGGUCCUACUUGGUGUGACUAAAUUUACCAAAUGUUCUUGUGCUGCUCUGAACCCUCCGCUUUCUUUCUUUCUUCCUUUCUUCCUUUCUUUCUUUCUUUCUUUCUUUCUUUCUUUCUUUCUUUCUUUUUUUGGUUCUUUUUUUUUUUUUUUCCAGAGCUGGGGACCGAACCCAGGGCCUUGCGCUUCCUAGGCAAGCGCUCUACCACUGAGCUAAAUCCCCAACCCCAACCCUCCGCUUUCUUUAAUUGCACUGGCAGCUCUGCAGUUGGUGGCCUUGGGCAUGUACACUGACUUCCUUAACUCACUUCCUUGUGAACUAAGGGGGUUUGCAAGAUCCUCCUACCUCUAGAACUUGGUGAUUGGGUGGGAGUUUUCUCCCUCAGCAGUGUAUACUGAUGCUGUAGAUCUGGCCAGCAGCACUGUGAGGACAAUGUUGGGAUGUAUUUCACUACAGAGCCACCUUUCUUCAGACUUCUCUCUCUCCCUUCCCCC